AUCCGGAAUUACUGGGCGUAAAGGGUGCGUAGGUGGUUUCUUAAGUCAGAGGUGAAAGGCUACGGCUCAACCGUAGUAAGCCUUUGAAACUGAGAAACUUGAGUGCAGGAGAGGAGAGUAGAAUUCCUAGUGUAGCGGUGAAAUGCGUAGAUAUUAGGAGGAAUACCAGUUGCGAAGGCGGCUCUCUGGACUGUAACUGACACUGAGGCACGAAAGCGUGGGGAGCAAACAGGAUUAGAUACCCUGGUAGUCCACGCCGUAAACGAUGAGUACUAGCUGUCGGAGGUUACCCCCUUCGGUGGCGCAGCUAACGCAUUAAGUACUCCGCCUGGGAAGUACGCUCGCAAGAGUGAAGCUCAAAGGAAUUGACGGGGACCCGCACAAGUAGCGGAGCAUGUGGUUUAAUUCGAAGCAACGCGAAGAACCUUACCUAAGCUUGACAUCCUUCUGACCUCUCCCUAAUCGGAGAUUUCCCUUCGGGGACAGAAGUGACAGGUGGUGCAUGGUUGUCGUCAGCUCGUGUCGUGAGAUGUUGGGUUAAGUCCCGCAACGAGCGCAACCCUUGCCUUUAGUUGCCAGCAUUAAGUUGGGCACUCUAGAGGGACUGCCAGGGAUAACCUGGAGGAAGGUGGGGAUGACGUCAAAUCAUCAUGCCCCUUAUGCUUAUGGCUACACACAUGCUACAAUGGGUGGUACAGAGGGUUGCCAAACCGUAAGGUGGAGCUAAUCCCUUAAAGCCAUUCUCAGUUCGGAUUGUAGGCUGAAACUCGCCUACAUGAAGCUGGAGUUACUAGUAAUCGCAGAUCAGAAUGCUGCGGUGAAUGCGUUCCCGGGUCUUGUACACACCGCCCGUCACACCACGGAAGUUGGGGGCGCCCGAAGCCAGAUAGCUAACCUUUUGGAAGCGUCUGUCGAAGGUGAAAUCAAUAACUGGAGUG
This 938-nucleotide ribosomal RNA is filed under the name uncultured bacterium. RNAcentral's name for it is "bacterial SSU rRNA". It matches the Rfam family "Bacterial small subunit ribosomal RNA", at positions 543 to 1482 of the family's 1533-position model. The record is from RNAcentral.